UCAUGCGCCACAGUCCCCUGACCGUGCGCCGGAAAAAUUAACAGCUCCGGAAGAGGAGAAUAUAUCGAAUGAUUUAAACCAGAAUCCAAGCAUCGAUAACAUUCAGCAGAACUGUACCAGUUCGGUGCAGGAAGAGCUGGAACCGCCCGGAACCGUUCAAAUACCCCGUGUUCUAUCCAAAUCUUCACAGAAACAAGAUUUUUUUUUUUUUUCAAAAGACCUGCAUUAUAAGGUAACUUUAUUUUGUUUCACAGAAUAUCUUAAAUUGAGGAAAAGACGGCGACUCUGUGCUCUCUAUACCAGGGCGAGGCUUGUUAGAGGUUUAUUGAAUGAGGCAACGUUGAUGGUGGAGCAGAUUUCAUCGAGACCUGGACAGCAACAGCGCAGACAGA
Long non-coding RNA from Girardinichthys multiradiatus, 392 nucleotides. RefSeq lists it as uncharacterized. The transcript has 3 exons. The record is from RefSeq and is a predicted model, not a curated record. Lineage: Eukaryota; Metazoa; Chordata; Actinopteri; Cyprinodontiformes; Goodeidae.